UACGUAGGGUGCAAGCGUUGUCCGGAAUUAUUGGGCGUAAAGAGCUCGUAGGCGGUCUGUCGCGUCGGAUGUGAAAAUCCAGGGCUUAACCCUGGACCUGCAUUCGAUACGGGCAGACUAGAGUUCGGUAGGGGAGACUGGAAUUCCUGGUGUAGCGGUGAAAUGCGCAGAUAUCAGGAGGAACACCAAUUGCGAAGGCAGCUCGCUGGAACGUAACUGACGCUGAGACGCGAAAGCGUGGGGAGCAAACAGG
This 253-nucleotide ribosomal RNA is filed under the name uncultured bacterium. RNAcentral describes it as "partial 16S ribosomal RNA". It matches the Rfam family "Bacterial small subunit ribosomal RNA", at positions 524 to 776 of the family's 1533-position model. The record is from RNAcentral.